UACGGGGGGGGCAAGCGUUGUUCGGAAUUACUGGGCGUAAAGGGCUCGUAGGUGGCCAACUAAGUCAGACGUGAAAUCCCUCGGCUUAACCGGGGAACUGCGUCUGAUACUGGAUGGCUUGAGUUUGGGAGAGGGACGCGGAAUUCCAGGUGUAGCGGUGAAAUGCGUAGAUAUCUGGAAGAACACCAAUGGCGAAAGCAGCUCUCUGGGACGGUACUGACGCUGAGACGCGAAAGCGUGGGGAGCGAACAGG
This 253-nucleotide ribosomal RNA is filed under the name uncultured bacterium. RNAcentral's name for it is "partial 16S ribosomal RNA". It matches the Rfam family "Bacterial small subunit ribosomal RNA", at positions 524 to 776 of the family's 1533-position model. The record is from RNAcentral.